RNAcentral lists this ribosomal RNA (419 nucleotides) under uncultured ammonia-oxidizing beta proteobacterium. RNAcentral describes it as "bacterial SSU rRNA". It matches the Rfam family "Bacterial small subunit ribosomal RNA", at positions 197 to 597 of the family's 1533-position model. Lineage: Bacteria; Pseudomonadati; Pseudomonadota; Betaproteobacteria. The record is from RNAcentral.
UGGAGGAAAGCAGGGGAUCGUAAGACCUUGCGCUUUUGGAGCGGCCGAUGUCUGAUUAGCUAGUUGGUGGGGUAAUGGCCUACCAAAGCUUCGAUCAGUAGCUGGUCUGAGGGGACGGCCAGCCACACUGGGACUGAGACACGGCCCAGACUCCUACGGGAGGCAGCAGUGGGGAAUUUUGGACAAUGGGCGAAAGCCUGAUCCAGCAAUGCCGCGUGAGUGAAGAAGGCCUUCGGGUUGUAAAGCUCUUUCAGUCGAGAAGAAAAGGUCGCGACUAAUAAUCGCAACUUAUGACGGUAUCGACAGAAGAAGCACCGGCUAACUACGUGCCAGCAGCCGCGGUAAUACGUAGGGUGCGAGCGUUAAUCGGAAUUACUGGGCGUAAAGGGUGCGCAGGCGGCUCUGUAAGUCAGAUGUGA